GGGCGCCCCUCCCCCAGCCUCGCUGCCGCCUUGCAGUUUGAUCUUAGACUGCUGUGCUAGCAAUCAGCGAGACUCCGUGGGCGGGCGUAGGACCCUCCGAGCCAGGUGCGGGUUAUAAUCUCGUGGUGCGCCGUGUUUUAAGCCUGUCGGAAAAGCGCAGUAUUCGGGUGGGAGUGACCCAAUUUUCCAGGUGCGUCCGUCACCCCUUUCUUUGACUAGGAAAGGGAACUCCCUGACCCCUUGCGCUUCCCGAGUGAGGCCCUCGCCCUGCUUCGGUUCGCGCACGGUGCGCGCACCCACUGGCCUGCGCCCACUGUCUGGCACUCCCUAGGAGAUGAACCCGGUACCUCAGAUGGAAAUGCAGAAAUCACCCGUAUUCUGCGUCGCUCACGCUGGGAGCUGUAGACGGGAGCUGUUCCUAUUCGGCCAUCUUGGCUCCUCCCCCUGAAAAUCAUUUUCUACCAAAACUUUGAAGGCGGUAUUCUGCUGUCUUCCAGCAUACAGGAUUGCUGAUGAGAAGUCUAUCAGUCUGAUUCUCAUUCCAAUAUGGAGUCUCGCUCUGUCAUGCUGGAGUGUGGUGGCGCAAUCUCGGUUCACUGCAAGCUCCGCCUCCUGGGUUCACGCCAUUCUCCUGCCUCAGCCUCCCAAGUAGCUGGAACUACAGGCACCCGCCACCACGCCCAGCUAAUUUUUUGUAUUUUUAGUAGAGACGGGGUUUCACCAUGUUAGCCAGGAUGGUCUCAAUCUCCUGACCUCGUGAUCCACCCGCCUUGGCCUCCCAAAGUGCUGGGAGUACAGGCAUGAGCCACCGCACCUGGCCAAAUUAUUGAUAUUUUUUAAGAAAAGUAACAGAAUAGAUUUGAUAGAGAUACUGUUUCUCUUAAUACCAAAGGAAAACUAAAAUAAUAAUCCCAGUGUACUUUUCUUUGUUCCCUCAUGUUUUUUUCAAUCUAUACACUAACAUACCUAGCAGCAAAUUAAAGUUUUACUUCAACUCGAAAUAUUUAAGAGGCAUUAAACAAGGCAUUUCUUUGUCUUUGGUUGAAUUCUUUUGGAUUACCAAUAGUAAUUGAAGGAUCAAUUAUCAAAGAGUUUGAAUAGCUAAUGUAAACCGCAAACUCACCAUACAGUUUUUAUUCCAAAUGUGUUGAUAAAAAGAUACUUUGUUUCUUUAUCCACUUUGUUUUUAUAACACUUAAAAACCAAUACAAAUCAAAAAACCUAGUUAAAGCUAUUUUCUGGUUUGUAGUUUUAAUUAAUUUCCCCUAGGGUAGAAAUUAAAGCUGAUAAGUCACACACACACACUUUGUUGGGGUGGGGGUGGCAGGUGGAGAGCACUGUACUUGGGUUAGCUACAAUUAAAAACAGUAUUUCAAUUCCUCAUUUUACUUAUUUUAUAUGUAGACAGGGCCUUAGUGAUAAGAUGGUAUAAAUAAUUUAGGAUAUUCGUGUUUUAAAGUGAAGCAUAAAUAUUUUGCAAAAUGUUUUCUAGUUUGAAGGAUGUUCCAUUAUUAGGAUUUUCAGAUUAAUCUGUAUGGUCAAGGAAUACCAGUGAAACCUGUAGGUUAUUUAUUUUCUGUAGUGUCAUUUUGUCAAUGGUUGGUAUUAUAAUUGUUCUUUUCUUUCUUUUUUUUCUUUUUCUUUUUAUUUUGAGAUGGAGCGUCGCUGUGUUGCCAGACUGGAGUGCAGUGGCAUGACCUUGGCUCACUGCAACCUCCACCUCCUGGGUUCAAGUGAUUCUCCUGCCUCAGCCUCCCGAGUAGCUGGGACUACAGGUGUGCACCACCACAUCCAGCUGAUUUUUGUAUUUUUUUUUUAGUAGAGACGGGGUUUCACCAUGUUGGUCAGGAUGGUCUCAAUCUCUUGACCUUGUGAUCUGCCUACCUCAGCCUCCCAAAGUGCUGGGAUUACAGGCGUGAGCCACCAUGCCUGGCCCCCUCUUUUCUUAUUCAUUUUAUCACCAGUGCAUAAUUCUUACUGACAUUAGAUUUUAAAAAAGAAUUAUGCUGUAAAUCUUUAUAAAUUGUAUAUAUAUUUCUUAAAUAUUGCAAUUGUCUAAACGUUGUAUAUUUUAAGGCUGUUUUCUCUUGCUCUCAAUGUUGAGGAAAACUAUAAAUUGACCUAUAAUGCAUCUACUGCUAAUGGUUUUGGUUAGUUUGAUAUUCAUUGUUUUUAAACAGUUUCCAAUAUGGAAAUUUUAACACCUUUUAUACAGUUCUCUACUAUUCAAGAUAAAGAUUCUUUAAAAUAUCUCACCAGAAACUUAUAAUUUUAUACUUUGUAAUAUUUAGUUUCUAUAAUUUGAGGAAGGGACUUUUUCAUUUGGAUUAAGUAAAAAGCCUUUAUUUGAUUGCCAGCAUGAGAAUUCACCUUGGUUUCUAUUUUAUGCAUUUGUAAAUUUUUUCCCUAAUUACAUGGAAGCUAUUGGAACUUUUGUAUUCAAUGCUAAAUACUAAGUCAAAGGGAGUAUAAUAGGUAAGUUUUUUCAGUUACUGUGUCUUUAGCAUUCAGUCAUUAUAAGAAAAUGAUCAUAAGAAAAUCAUUAUAUUAUAAACAUGUAAUUAUUUCAUAUAAUGAUUAUCAUGUACUGCAAUGUUACUUUUAAAAUAAGCUAUUAAACUAGUUUUUAUGUUUCAACUAAUGCAAAAAAAAAUAAAGAAAUAUCUGAGACUGGCUAAUUU
This 2681-nucleotide long non-coding RNA is filed under the name Homo sapiens (human). Its description in RNAcentral is "HSALNT0060679". Lineage: Eukaryota; Metazoa; Chordata; Mammalia; Primates; Hominidae. The record is from RNAcentral.